GGCCGAAAAUUUCAACACUAACCUGAUGGUAAGCCUCUACGAAAUAAGCAAGGCUGCUAGGCUGAUCCUGGGAACUAGAUAAAGUGAUCAGGAACAUAGUGCACACACACAGUCUGGGAACUAGAGAACGUGAUCAGGAACAUAGUGCACACACACACACAGCUUGGGAACUAGAUAAAGUGAUCAGGAACAUAGUGCACACACACACACACACACCCCGGGAACUAGAUAAAGUGAUCAGGAACAUAGUGCACACACACACACACACAGCCUGGGAGCUAGAUAAAGUGAUCAGGAACAUAGUGCACACACACACACACACACACACACACAGAGCCUGGGAACUAGAUAAAGUGAUCAGGAACAUAGUGCACACACACAGCCUGGGAACUAGAGAAAGUGAUCAGGAACAUAGUGCACACACACACACAGCUUGGGAACUAGAUAAAGUGAUCAGGAACAUAGUGCACACACACAGCCUGGGAACUAGAGAAAGUGAUCAGGAACAUAGUGCACACAUACACAUAGCCUGGGAACUAGAUAAAGUGAUCAGGAACAUAGUGCACACACACAGCCUGGGAACUAGAGAACGUGAUCAGGAACAUAGUGCACACACACACACACACAGCUUGGGAACUAGAUAAAGUGAUCAGGAACAUAGUGAACACACACACACACAGCCUGGGAACUAGAUAAAGUGAUCAGGAACAUAGUGCACACACACACACACACACACACACACAGAGCCUGGGAACUAGAUAAAGUGAUCAGGAACAUAGUGCGCACACACACACACACACACACACAGCCUGGGAACUAGAUAAAGUAAUCAGGAACAUAGUGCACACACACACACACAGCAUGGGAACUAGAUAAAGUGUUCAGGAACAUAGUGCGCACACACACACACACACACACACACACAGCCUGGGAACUAGAUAAAGUAAUCAGGAACAUAGUGCACACACACACACACACACACACACACAGCCUGGGAACUAGAUAAAGUGAUCAGGAACAUAGUGCACACACACACACACACACACACACACACAGAGCCUGGGAACUAGAUAAAGUGAUCAGGAACAUAGUGCACACACAUAGCCUGGGAACUAGAUAAAGUGAUCAGGAACAUAGUGCACACACACAACAUACAUAGUGCACACAUACACACACACACGCACACAGCCUAAGAGUCAAAGAGGCUUAGCUUGAAGGACUGCCUUUGACAUAAACUCGUGGUAUGACACUAGGCAAGGCACUUAACGGCUUCAAAUAAUUCUCUAUGACUUCAUGUUGCAGUGUCAACCUGCAUUAAUUGAAGGAAGUUUCCUCAAGGAGCAUUUUUGGUAUUUAUCAAAACAUAGGUCUGUUCAAAAAUAUGUGUGUGUGUGAAGGGAUAGCUGGGUGACUCUGUAGAGAGAGCCAGGCCCAGGGAUGGGAGGUCCUGGGUUCAAAUCUGGCCUCAGACACUUCCUAGCUGUGUGUUCCUGGGCAAGUUACUUAACUCCUCCCCCUCCCCCCUUGCCUAAGCCUUUACUGCUUAUCUGCUUUGGAACCAAUACAUAGUAUUGAUUCUAAGGCAGAAGGUAAGGGUUAAAAAAAAAUACAUAUAUAUAUAUAUAUAUGUAUAUAUACAGAUAU
RNAcentral lists this long non-coding RNA (1644 nucleotides) under Monodelphis domestica (gray short-tailed opossum). Its description in RNAcentral is "lncRNA (ENSMODG00000045720.1)". The record is from RNAcentral. Lineage: Eukaryota; Metazoa; Chordata; Mammalia; Didelphimorphia; Didelphidae.